GAUGAACGCUGGCGGCGUGCUUAACACAUGCAAGUCGAACGAUGAAGCCCAGCCUGCUGGGCGGAUUAGUGGCGAACGGGUGAGUAACACGUGAGUAACCUGCCCUUGACUCUGGGAUAAGCCCGGGAAACUGGGUCUAAUACCGGAUAGGAGCGCCUGUCGCAUGACGGGUGCUGGAAAGAUUUUUCGGUCAUGGAUGGACUCGCGGCCUAUCAGCUUGUUGGUGAGGUAACGGCUCACCAAGGCGACGACGGGUAGCCGGCCUGAGAGGGUGACCGGCCACACUGGGACUGAGACACGGCCCAGACUCCUACGGGAGGCAGCAGUGGGGAAUAUUGCACAAUGGGCGGAAGCCUGAUGCAGCGACGCCGCGUGAGGGAUGACGGCCUUCGGGUUGUAAACCUCUUUCAGUAGGGAAGAAGCGAAAGUGACGUACCUGCAGAAGA
Molecule: ribosomal RNA, 446 nt
Filed under: Micrococcus luteus
Lineage: Bacteria; Bacillati; Actinomycetota; Actinomycetes; Micrococcales; Micrococcaceae
Description: bacterial SSU rRNA
Rfam family: Bacterial small subunit ribosomal RNA
Source: RNAcentral